Molecule: ribosomal RNA, 473 nt
Filed under: uncultured bacterium
Lineage: Bacteria
Description: bacterial SSU rRNA
Rfam family: Bacterial small subunit ribosomal RNA
Source: RNAcentral
ACUCCUACGGGAGGCAGCAGUAGGGAAUCUUCCACAAUGGGCGCAAGCCUGAUGGAGCAACACCGCGUGAGUGAAGAAGGGUUUCGGCUCGUAAAGCUCUGUUGUUAAAGAAGAACACGUAUGAGAGUAACUGUUCAUACGUUGACGGUAUUUAACCAGAAAGUCACGGCUAACUACGUGCCAGCAGCCGCGGUAAUACGUAGGUGGCAGGCGUUAUCCGGAUUUAUUGGGCGUAAAGAGAGUGCAGGCGGUUUUCUAAGUCUGAUGUGAAAGCCUUCGGCUUAACCGGAGAAGUGCAUCGGAAACUGGAUAACUUGAGUGCAGAAGAGGGUAGUGGAACUCCAUGUGCAGCGGUGGAAUGCGUAGAUAUAUGGAAGAACACCAGUGGCGAAGGCGGCUACCUGGUCUGCAACUGACGCUGAGACUCGAAAGCAUGGGUAGCGAACAGGAUUAGAUACCCUGGUAGGAUAGCG